AAUAACGUAAUUAUUACCUUUGUUUGCAGUUAAUUUAAGAAACACUGUUUCAAGUUUAUCCACAGAGUGUCCAAUUGAAGACGACCAGAGAAGGAUGUUGAAAUAAAGAACUUUCUUAACACACUGGGAAGUUGGGGAACCUCUCCUUCCAGUCACGAGGCCCUGCCCUGCAGCAGCCGACCUGGAAAACCAGACCCCAGCCCCUGCAGCAAUGGGCUCCAGGAUUCAGUGCGUGGUUCUUGAACCUUGUACAUGUAUUAUAAGUUUCUCAGAAAUGCCAAGACAUUACGAAAAAAUUUUAAACCUCUAAAAAAUAAAACUCACA
This 325-nucleotide long non-coding RNA is filed under the name Bos indicus x Bos taurus (hybrid cattle). RNAcentral's name for it is "lncRNA (ENSBIXG00005003155.1)". Lineage: Eukaryota; Metazoa; Chordata; Mammalia; Artiodactyla; Bovidae. The record is from RNAcentral.